Gasterosteus aculeatus (three-spined stickleback) is the source of this 54-nucleotide regulatory RNA element. It matches the Rfam family "UnaL2 LINE 3' element". From Rfam's summary of the family: The eel long interspersed element (LINE) UnaL2 and its partner short interspersed element (SINE) share a conserved 3' tail containing a stem-loop that is critical for their retrotransposition. Presumably, the first step of retrotransposition is the recognition of their 3' tails by UnaL2-encoded reverse transcriptase. The record is from Rfam. NCBI's taxonomy places the organism in Eukaryota, Metazoa, Chordata, Actinopteri, Perciformes, Gasterosteidae.
UAUUUAAUUUGAUGUAAGUCGCUUUGGAUAAAAGCGUCAGCUAAAUGACAUGUA